RNAcentral lists this ribosomal RNA (381 nucleotides) under uncultured bacterium. Its description in RNAcentral is "bacterial SSU rRNA". It matches the Rfam family "Bacterial small subunit ribosomal RNA", at positions 518 to 898 of the family's 1533-position model. The record is from RNAcentral.
CGGUAAUACGUAGGCAGCGAGCGUUGUUCGGAGUUACUGGGCGUAAAGGGUGUGUAGGCGGUCCUCCGUGUCUGGUGUGAAAUCUCCCGGCUUAACUGGGAGGGUGCGCCGGAAACUGGAAGGCUUGGAGUGCGGGAUGGGAGAGUGGAAUUCCUGGUGUAGCGGUGAAAUGCGUAGAUAUCAGGAGGAACACCGGUGGUGUAGACGGCUCUCUGGACCGUAACUGACGCUGAGACACGAAAGCGUGGGUAGCAAACAGGAUUAGAUACCCUGGUAGUCCACGCCCUAAACGAUGCACAUUUGGUGUAGGUCAUUCAUUUGAUCUGUGCCGGAGCUAACGCGUUAAAUGUGCCGCCUGGGGAGUACGGUCGCAAGGCUGAA